This is a long non-coding RNA of Hippocampus comes (tiger tail seahorse), 862 nucleotides long. RefSeq lists it as uncharacterized. The transcript is spliced from 3 exons. The record is from RefSeq and is a predicted model, not a curated record. NCBI's taxonomy places the organism in Eukaryota, Metazoa, Chordata, Actinopteri, Syngnathiformes, Syngnathidae.
AAAUGACAAAAUGUGUGUCUUGUUUGAAAUGUGUGAACUAUUUAGUUUCACAACAUAAACAUCAACCAAAGUAGAAAUGUUAUGAAAUAUCGCAUUCCCAGCCUAAAAAAGGCAUAGCUUAUUUAUUUAUUUAUUUAGACAUACUGUACUUGUCAUAGUAUGGAAAGAGGAGUUUGAUAAAAAAUAAAAGUUGCCAUUUAUUUGAUUGAUUGAUGGUUUUCCCCGUUUCUAAGUAAUGGAAAUUUGUUUCCCUCCCUACAAUACGGUAAACAAUUAGUCGUUAUCCAAUGAGAUACAUUAUGGUUGGCCACUUCCAUGCAUUUCUUCAGUUGUCAAUUUGGGCAAGUCUUUCUCCUGUUGUCUGAAUCAGAAUCCAUCAAAAUAUGUCGUUUAAAUGUUAAUGGUCAUGUAAACAUUCAUUCCAGCUACUUCCCUUCUCGGUUUAAUGUCACGCUGUUGCGACAUCCUGGAAUAUGUUCAAUAGAGUUUUGUUAACAUUGGCUUCCUGCAUUCUAUUUAAAGUGAUUGCGUGUGUACUGAGACCAGAGGUUCUGACAUUGGAUUCUGGGAAAAGUUUCAAAAAUGUGUUGUUGAUGAUAGCGAGAGAGAAAGAGACAGAAAGACAGAGAGUCAAGGGGAAAAUAAGCAAAAGCACAACACAAUACAGAAUGAAAAUUUCAAUAUUAUCAAUAUUUAUCAUUUCUAAAGUAAAAGUGUUUUGGUCUCUCAACAUAUUUAAACUCUAUCAAAUGAGUGUCUUGUUUGGUACACGUGAGCUAUUUAAUUUUGCAUCUCAAACAUGACUCAUAGCUUCACAAAAUGAUGCCAUGGCAUGGCUUUCAGCACCCAGUGAGGUUUUUAU